GGUCCAGCCUGCCCAGUGACAAAGUUCAACGGCCGCGGUACCCUAACCGCGCGAAGGUAGCAUAAUCACUUGUUCCUUAAAUAGGGACUAGUAUCAACGGCAUCACGAGGGUCCCACUGUCUCCUCUCUCUAAUCAACGAAACUGAUCUCUCCGUGAAGAAGCGGAGAUUAUAAUAUAAGACGAGAAGACCCCAUGGAGCUUUAAACCUAAUUACACCUCUAUUAACUACACCCUCUUAAUUAACAGACCUCUGUAUGACGGCUUUAGGUUGGGGUGACCGCGGAGAAUAAAUUAACCUCCACGAUGAACUGGACUAACCCACUAUCAAAGAGAUACACCUCUAAGAAUUAGCAUACUAACGUAAAAUGAUCCGAUAAUCGAUUAACGAACCAAGUUACCCUGGGGAUAACAGCGCAAUCCACUUUAAGAGCUCCUAUCGACAAGCGGGUUUACGACCUCGAUGUUGGAUCAGGGUAUCCUAGUGGUGCAGCAGCUACUAAAGGUUCGUUUGUUCAACGAUUAAAACCCU
RNAcentral lists this ribosomal RNA (530 nucleotides) under Spinomantis massi. RNAcentral's name for it is "partial 16S ribosomal RNA". It matches the Rfam family "Bacterial large subunit ribosomal RNA", at positions 1851 to 2597 of the family's 2925-position model. The record is from RNAcentral. Lineage: Eukaryota; Metazoa; Chordata; Amphibia; Anura; Mantellidae.